This 416-nucleotide ribosomal RNA is filed under the name uncultured bacterium. RNAcentral describes it as "bacterial SSU rRNA". It matches the Rfam family "Bacterial small subunit ribosomal RNA", at positions 362 to 776 of the family's 1533-position model. The record is from RNAcentral.
UAUUGGUCAAUGGGAGAGAUCCUGAACCAGCCAAGCAGCGUGAGGGAAGACGGCCCUAUGGGUUGUAAACCUCUUUUGUCGGAGAACAAAACCCGGGACGUGUCCCGGACUGCGUGUAUCCGAAGAAAAAGCAUCGGCUAACCCCGGGCCAGCAGCCGCGGUAAUACGGAGGAUGCGCGCGUUAUCCGGAUUUAUUGGGUGUAAAGGGUGCGUAGGCGGUCCGUUAAGUCAGCGGUAAAAUUGCGGGGCUCAACCCCGUCGAGCCGUUGAAACUGGCAGACUUGAGUUGGCGAGAAGUACGCGGAAUGCGCGGUGUAGCGGUGAAAUGCAUAGAUAUCGCGCAGAACUCCGAUUGCGAAGGCAGCGUACCGGCGCCAGACUGACGCUGAGGCACGAAAGCGUGGGGAUCGAACAGG